UACGGGGGGGGCAAGCGUUGUUCGGAAUUAUUGGGCGUAAAGCGCGCGUAGGCGGCUUCGCAAGUCGGCCGUGAAAGCGCCAGGCUUAACCUGGCGAGGUCGGGCGAGACUGCGGGGCUAGAGGCAGGCAGAGGGCGGUGGAAUUCCGGGUGUAGUGGUGGAAUGCGUAGAGAUCCGGAGGAACACCAGUGGCGAAGGCGGCCGCCUGGGCCUGUCCUGACGCUGAGGCGCGAAAGCGUGGGGAGCGAUCCGG
This 253-nucleotide ribosomal RNA is filed under the name uncultured bacterium. Its description in RNAcentral is "partial 16S ribosomal RNA". It matches the Rfam family "Bacterial small subunit ribosomal RNA", at positions 524 to 776 of the family's 1533-position model. The record is from RNAcentral.